CCUACGGGAGGCAGCAGUGGGGAAUAUUGCACAAUGGGCGAAAGCCUGAUGCAGCAACGCCGCGUGAAGGAAGACGGUCCUCGGAUUGUAAACCUCUGUUCUUCGUGGAGAAUAAUGACGGUAACUAAGGAGCAAGCCACGGCUAACUACGUGCCAGCAGCCGCGGUACUACGUAGGUGGCAAGCGUUGUCCGGAAUUAAUGGGCGUAAAGGGAGCGUAGGCGGGAAGCUAAGUCAGCUGUGAAAACUACGGGCUUAACCUGUAGACUGCAGUUGAAACUGGCUUUCUUGAGUGAAGUAGAGGUUGGCGGAAUGCGGGGUGUAGCGGUGAAAUGCGUAGAUAUUCGGCGGAACACCGAUUGCGAAGGCGGCCAUCUGGGCUUUAACUGACGCUGAGGCUCGAAAGUGUGGGGAGCAAACAGGAUUAGAUACCCCAGUAGUC
RNAcentral lists this ribosomal RNA (441 nucleotides) under uncultured bacterium. RNAcentral's name for it is "partial 16S ribosomal RNA". It matches the Rfam family "Bacterial small subunit ribosomal RNA", at positions 338 to 795 of the family's 1533-position model. The record is from RNAcentral.